AAGCGCCAUGGACCUGUUGAUACGAUCGUGAACAUUUUUCCAGGAAAAAUGGUAUCAAGGGUUGACGAGGUGAAGGGUUAUCGAAUAUUCGGCGGAUGCCCUUCCAUGCCCUCCGGGCGUGAUUCUUACGUGAAAUAUGCGGGUAACUGCAAAACAAAC
Molecule: non-coding RNA, 159 nt
Filed under: uncultured Lacrimispora sp.
Lineage: Bacteria; Bacillati; Bacillota; Clostridia; Lachnospirales; Lachnospiraceae
Description: glmS glucosamine-6-phosphate activated ribozyme
Rfam family: glmS glucosamine-6-phosphate activated ribozyme aptamer
About the family: This entry contains a glucosamine-6-phosphate activated ribozyme that is found in the mRNA for GlmS. GlmS is an enzyme that uses fructose-6-phosphate and glutamine to generate glucosamine-6-phosphate. The ribozyme catalyses self cleavage of the glmS mRNA that is thought to regulate GlmS activity.
Source: RNAcentral